This 73-nucleotide transfer RNA is filed under the name Camelus bactrianus (Bactrian camel). It matches the Rfam family "tRNA". From Rfam's summary of the family: Transfer RNA (tRNA) molecules are approximately 80 nucleotides in length. Their secondary structure includes four short double-helical elements and three loops (D, anti-codon, and T loops). Lineage: Eukaryota; Metazoa; Chordata; Mammalia; Artiodactyla; Camelidae. RNAcentral also lists the same sequence under 1 other name. The record is from Rfam by way of RNAcentral.
GAAGGUAUAGCUCAAGUGGCAGAGCACAUGCUUAGCAUACACAAGGACCUGGGUUCAAUCCCCAGGGCCUUCU